UAUCUUGGGCAAACCACCCUGAACAUGCCCUAAUCUCAAAAGCUAAGCAGGGUUGGGCCUGGUUAGUACUUGGAUGGGAGAAUUCAAAGGUCUUCAUAAUCU
This 102-nucleotide ribosomal RNA is filed under the name Neogale vison (American mink). The record is from RNAcentral. Lineage: Eukaryota; Metazoa; Chordata; Mammalia; Carnivora; Mustelidae.